UGGGGAAUAUUGGACAAUGGGCGCAAGCCUGAUCCAGCAAUGCCGCGUGUGUGAAGAAGGCCUUCGGGUUGUAAAGCACUUUUAUCAGGAGCGAAACGCUGUCGGCUAAUACCCGGCGGAACUGACGGUACCUGAGGAAUAAGCACCGGCUAACUUCGUGCCAGCAGCCGCGGUAAUACGAAGGGUGCAAGCGUUAAUCGGAAUUACUGGGCGUAAAGCGUGCGUAGGCGGUUUCUUAAGUCUGCUGUGAAAUCCCCGGGCUCAACCUGGGAAUGGCAGUGGAUACUGGGAGGCUAGAGUGUGUCAGAGGGUGGUGGAAUUCCCGGUGUAGCGGUGAAAUGCGUAGAGAUCGGGAGGAACAUCAGUGGCGAAGGCGGCCACCUGGGACAACACUGACGCUGAGGCACGAAAGCGUGGGGAGCAAACAGGAUUAGAUACCCUGGUAGUCCACGCCCUAAACGAUGCGAACUGGAUGUUGGUCUCAACUCGGAGAUCAGUGUCGAAGCUAACGCGUUAAGUUCGCCGCCUGGGGAGUACGGUCACAAGACUGAAACUCAAAUGAAUUGACGGGGUCAUAGCUGUUU
Molecule: ribosomal RNA, 584 nt
Filed under: uncultured bacterium
Lineage: Bacteria
Description: partial 16S ribosomal RNA
Rfam family: Bacterial small subunit ribosomal RNA
Source: RNAcentral